Molecule: ribosomal RNA, 564 nt
Filed under: uncultured Glomeromycotina
Lineage: Eukaryota; Fungi; Glomeromycota
Description: SSU rRNA
Rfam family: Eukaryotic small subunit ribosomal RNA
Source: RNAcentral
UUGGAGGGCAAGUCUGGUGCCAGCAGCCGCGGUAUUUCCAGCUCCAAUAGCGUAUAUUAAAGUUGUUGCAGUUAAAAAGCUCGUAGUUGAAUUUCGAGAUCAAUUUGUCGGUCGUGCCUCGGUACGUACUGGCAUUAUUGAUUUCUCCCUUCUGAAGAACCGCGAUGCCAUUAAUUUGGUGUCGUGGGGAAUCAGGACUGUUACUUUGAAAAAAUUAGAGUGUUUAAAGCAGGCGCACGCUUGAGUACAUUAGCAUGGAAUAAUGAAAUAGGACGUUUGAUUCUAUUUUGUUGGUUUCUAGGAUCGACGUAAUGAUUAAUAGGGAUAGUUGGGGGCAUUAGUAUUCAAUUGUCAGAGGUGAAAUUCUCGGAUUUAUUGAAGACUAACUACUGCGAAAGCAUUUGCCAAGGAUGUUUUCAUUAAUCAAGAACGAAAGUUAGGGGAUCGAAGACGAUCAGAUACCGUCGUAGUCUUAACCAUAAACUAUGCCGACUAGGGAUCGGAUGAUGUUAAUUUUUUAAUGACUCAUUCGGCGCCUUACGGGAAACCAAAGUGUUUGGGUUC